GUGCUUGCUUCAGCAGCAUGUAUACUAAUAUUGGAAUGAUACAGAGAAGAUUGAUGGCCAUGGCCUCUGUGCGUGGAUGACAUAAAAAUUUGUGAAGCAUUCGGUAUUUUU
Small nuclear RNA from Hyaena hyaena (striped hyena), 111 nucleotides. NCBI's taxonomy places the organism in Eukaryota, Metazoa, Chordata, Mammalia, Carnivora, Hyaenidae. The record is from RefSeq and is a predicted model, not a curated record.